CGAAAGUUACGCUAAUACCGCAUACGAUCCACGGAUGAAAGCAGGGGACCUUCGGGCCUUGUGCUAUACGAGCGGCCGAUGUCUGAUUAGCUAGUUGGUGAGGUAAAGGCUCACCAAGGCGACGAUCAGUAGCGGGUCUGAGAGGAUGAUCCGCCACACUGGGACUGAGACACGGCCCAGACUCCUACGGGAGGCAGCAGUGGGGAAUUUUGGACAAUGGGCGCAAGCCUGAUCCAGCCAUGCCGCGUGUCUGAAGAAGGCCUUCGGGUUGUAAAGGACUUUUGUCAGGGAGCAAAACUUACUGGUUAAUACCUGGUGAGGUUGAGAGUACCUGAAGAAUAAGCACCGGCUAACUACGUGCCAGCAGCCGCGGUAAUACGUAGGGUGCAAGCGUUAAUCGGAAUUACUGGGCGUAAAGCGUGCGCAGGCGGACUUUUAAGCCAGAUGUGAAAGCCCCGAGCUUAACUUGGGAAUUGCGUUUGGAACUGGGAGUCUAGAGUCUGUCAGAGGGGGAUGGAAUUCCACGU
This 527-nucleotide ribosomal RNA is filed under the name uncultured bacterium. RNAcentral's name for it is "bacterial SSU rRNA". It matches the Rfam family "Bacterial small subunit ribosomal RNA", at positions 152 to 674 of the family's 1533-position model. The record is from RNAcentral.